AAUAAAUAAAUAAAUUCAUAGAUGGAGAGCAAGGAUGAAAGAAAGGGAGAAAUAGAAUGAAAUAGAGAAGAGAAAAAUACAGAGACAGACGAUUAAAGAGAAGUGGGCCCCGAUUCGAUUGUUAGGAAACUCUAGCGGGCCGUCCUCGUGAGCGUCAGCACUCUCACUGGUGCUUUCUCUCCGCAGGUGUGUGGGUGCAAUGUACACCUGAAUGAUGUUAUUGGAGAACAGAUUCCUACCAAGUAAAAUCAAUCAAUCAAUCAAUCAGAGAAGGAAAAUAUAAUAAAAAAGAAAAAUUGGAAUGAGAAAGAAAAGGGAAACGGAUGCUGCGUCGCGAGCCGUCGCGAGGAUUUCUUUGGUUGCUUGUGCGCGUUUUCCAGGCCCGUCGGUCUUCCAUCCCUGAACCGAUAAACGCGGUGACCGGCGCCUUCACAAUAAUUAUAAUUAAUUUUAUAAUCCAGUCUGGUAGUUUUAAGAAGCGAGUUCUGGCAUCCUCGCCUCGGCGGGGGUGUGGAGCGCCAGCGAGCCCAAGGUCUCCCUGGCGAGCAGGACAGGAGGGCUCCAGGCAGGGCUUCUCGGCGUCCCUCGGGGCCCCGACGGAGGUGCCGGAGAUCUUCGGGCUACGAACCCGGGCAGGUGGAGCUCGUUAGCCGUGGUAGGCAAUCUGCCUAGGAGAGCAAACUCCGAACAAUAAACCCGGGCAGGUGGAGCUCGUUAGCCGUGGUAGGCAAUCUACCUAGGAGAGCAAACUCUAUACAAACCCGGGCAGGUGAGGCUCGUUAGCCGUGGUAGGCAAUUCACCUAGGAGAGCAAACUCUAUACAAACCCGGGCAGGUGAGGCUCGUUAGCCGUGGGAGGCAAUUCACCUAGGAGAGCAAACUCUAUACAAACCCGGGCAGGUGAGGCUCGUUAGCCGUGGGAGGCAACUCACCUAGGAGAGCAAACUCUAAACAAACCCGGGCAGGUGGAGGUCGUCAGCCGUGGUAGGUAAUCUGCCUAGGAGAGCAAACUCCGAACAAUAAACCCGGGCAGGUGGAGGUCGUCAGCCGUGGUAGGCAAUCUGCCUAGGAGAGCAAACUCUAAACAAACCCGGGCUUGUGGUGCUCGUUAUACUGUCGUAGACAAUCCACGCGAUGGGAACACCAAAGAAAAGGAAAAUAAAAAAGAACACCAGAAAAAUGGAAAAUACAGAAACGAAACAUCAAGAAAAGAAACAAAAAAGAUCAUCCACCUUUAGGCCCUAACAUCACCAAAAUUAUGGAUGGGUCUCUUCUGGGGAGAAAGCGGCUCAUCCAAACCAAAGAACAUCAACAAAAGGAUGAUAUGAAUAAAUGAACAUCAAAAAAACAUAAAGAAAAACACAUCAAGGAAAGAAAAAUAUAACAAACAUCAUCCACCUUCCGGCCCUGACUAACAUCACCAAAAUUAUGGGUGGGUCUCUUCUGGGGAGAAAGCGGCUCACCCAGACCAAAGAACAUCAACAAGGGAUGAUAUAGAAAAGAACACCAAAAAAAAUAUGGAAAAAGAACAGAAAAAAAACAUCGAAAAAGAAAAGCAACAGAAAAAAUGAACAACAUCAAGAAAAGAGAAAUACAAAGAAACAUCAUCCACCUUUCGGCCCCAAACAACAUCACCAAAAUUAUGGAUGGGUCUCUUCUGGGAGGAAAGCGGCUCAUCCAGACCAAGGAACAUCAACAAAAGGAUGAUAGGAAAAAAAUAACAACAAAAAGCAUCAAUAAGAAGUAAAAAGAAAAAGAACAGGAAAACAUCGAAAAAGAAAACAAAAGCAAUGAAAAGAACGAAAAACACGACAUCAAGAAAAUAAAAUAAAACAAACAUCAUCCACCUUUCGGCCCUAACAACAUCUCCAAAAUUAUGGGUGGGUCUCUUCUGGGAGGAAAGCGGCUCACCCAGACCAACGAACAUCAACAAAAGGAUGAUAGGAAAAAAGAACAUCAAAAAAGAACAUCAAAAAAGAAAACCAA
Eriocheir sinensis (Chinese mitten crab) is the source of this 1985-nucleotide long non-coding RNA. RefSeq lists it as uncharacterized. The record is from RefSeq and is a predicted model, not a curated record. Lineage: Eukaryota; Metazoa; Arthropoda; Malacostraca; Decapoda; Varunidae. The transcript has 2 exons.